UACGGGGGGGCAAGCGUUGUUCGGAAUUACUGGGCGUAAAGGGCUCGUAGGCGGCCAACUAAGUCAGACGUGAAAUCCCUCGGCUUAACCGGGGAACUGCGUCUGAUACUGGAUGGCUUGAGAUUGGGAGAGGGAUGCGGAAUUCCAGGUGUAGCGGUGAAAUGCGUAGAUAUCUGGAGGAACACCUGUGGCGAAAGCGGCUCACUGGACCAUAACUGACGCUGAUGCACGAAAGCUAGGGGAGCAAACAGG
RNAcentral lists this ribosomal RNA (252 nucleotides) under uncultured bacterium. RNAcentral's name for it is "partial 16S ribosomal RNA". It matches the Rfam family "Bacterial small subunit ribosomal RNA", at positions 524 to 776 of the family's 1533-position model. The record is from RNAcentral.